RNAcentral lists this ribosomal RNA (497 nucleotides) under uncultured bacterium. RNAcentral describes it as "partial 16S ribosomal RNA". It matches the Rfam family "Bacterial small subunit ribosomal RNA", at positions 28 to 507 of the family's 1533-position model. The record is from RNAcentral.
GACGAACGCUGGCGGCGUGCCUAAUACAUGCAAGUAGAACGCUGAAGCGAAGAGCUUGCUCUUCUUGGUUGAGUUGCGAACGGGUGAGUAACGCGUAGGUAACCUGCCUUGUAGCGGGGGAUAACUAUUGGAAACGAUAGCUAAUACCGCAUAACAAUGGAUGACCCAUGUCAUUUAUCUGAAAGGGGCAAAUGCUCCACUACAAGAUGGACCUGCGUUGUAUUAGCUAGUAGGUGAGGUAACGGCUCACCUAGGCGACGAUACAUAGCCGACCUGAGAGGGUGAACGGCCACCCUGGGACUGAGACAAGGCCCAGCAUCCUACGGGAAGGAGCAGUAGGGAGUACUCGGCAAUGGGGGCAACCCUGACCGAGGAAAGACGCGUGAGAGAAGAAGGUUGUCGGAUCGGGAAGCUCGGUUGUAAGUCAAGGACGAGUGUGAGGGUGGAAAGUUCACACUGUGACGGUAGCUAAUGAGAAAGGGACGGCUAACUACGGG